Molecule: long non-coding RNA, 306 nt
Organism: Alosa alosa (allis shad)
Lineage: Eukaryota; Metazoa; Chordata; Actinopteri; Clupeiformes; Clupeidae
Exons: 3
Source: RefSeq, a predicted model, not a curated record
UUGAACAGCAUAUUUGAGCCUGAAUCAGAGGAAGAAUCUGAAAUAGAGGAGCAACCAGUCGCCCAUAGAUUGGAAAUGACUACUUCAGAGUGGUUAUUAAAAGAAUGACCCAGGUUCCUGAGGAGCUGACCUGAAUGACCAUCAUGGCCUCGAUCCGUUGUGCCUCUAUAUUCUUUGCAAAAUGCAAUGAAUAUUUACAGAGCUGACCAUGGCCGUUUGAGAAUCAGAGGAAUGGAAAGGCAAUGAAGUGACUUGGCCUACAGGUCUUUUGUGAGCAGGAGCUGGGGUUUCCUUAGAAGAAGCAUC